Molecule: non-coding RNA, 148 nt
Filed under: Chlorocebus sabaeus (green monkey)
Lineage: Eukaryota; Metazoa; Chordata; Mammalia; Primates; Cercopithecidae
Source: Rfam by way of RNAcentral
GCUGGGUGUGGUGGUGCAUGCCUGUAGUCCCAGCUACUCAGGAGGCUGAGGCAGGAGAAUCGCUAGAACCCAGGAGGCAGAGGCCACAGUGAGCCGACAUCAUACCACUGCCCUCUAGCCUGGGUGACAGAGUGAGAUUCUGUCUCAA